UACGUAGGGUGCAAGCGUUGUCCGGAAUUAUUGGGCGUAAAGAGCUCGUAGGCGGUUUGUUGCGUCGGCUGUGAAAUCCCGAGGCUCAACCUCGGGUCUGCAGUCGAUACGAGCAAACUAGAGUGUUGCAGGGGAGACUGGAAUUCCUGGUGUAGCGGUGAAAUGCGCAGAUAUCAGGAGGAACACCAGUGGCGAAGGCAAGUCUCUGGACGACACCUGACACUGAGGCACGAAAGCUAGGGGAGCAAACAGG
Molecule: ribosomal RNA, 253 nt
Filed under: uncultured bacterium
Lineage: Bacteria
Description: partial 16S ribosomal RNA
Rfam family: Bacterial small subunit ribosomal RNA
Source: RNAcentral